UCUCGCCAAACGUGGUCUUUGAUUGAUCUUCCACUUGGGAAAGAUGUCGUGAAGUGUCGGUGGGUGCACAUUAUCAAGUACAACCCGGAUGGCUCGGUUGAGCAUCUUAAAGCCCGACUUGUUGCUAAAGUUCCACUCCUCCACUUGAAAUAAAAUAUUGCAAUAAAAAGACUGGAAAUCGCCAUAAAUGACCAUUCAGUUAUGCUGAAUCAUCGAAUAUCUACAUUAACUUGAAUCGGUCACCAUAAAUGAUUACACUUAGAAGUUAGAGCAAGUUUCCUCGCACAAUCGGUCACCUUUGUAGAAGUUGUGAGAGCAUUACUCACUUAUGUAAGGGCUUAAGUUGUCCGAUGAACAUGUGCUUUAAAGUUUGAUUAUGGCAUCUACUAACUUUGG
Molecule: long non-coding RNA, 396 nt
Organism: Rhodamnia argentea
Lineage: Eukaryota; Viridiplantae; Streptophyta; Magnoliopsida; Myrtales; Myrtaceae
Exons: 3
Source: RefSeq, a predicted model, not a curated record